This 725-nucleotide long non-coding RNA is filed under the name Androctonus crassicauda. The record is from RNAcentral. Lineage: Eukaryota; Metazoa; Arthropoda; Arachnida; Scorpiones; Buthidae.
GCAGAAUUGUACUUGCAGGGAGCUUGUUUUAUUAUAGUAUAUAAAAAAGGCAAGUAAGUGGAAUUCUUCUAUUUGAAAUAUGUUUGGGAUAGUAACCUAAAGAAGUAGAAUUUGGAUGGAUAGGAAUAUUUGAAUAAAAUCCUCUAGUUAGGUUUAAUUAUGAUGAAUUAUGUUGCCAAAUCACUUGUGUAAUUCAGUAGAAUAUCUAGCAGCAGCCAUUUUUAAGAAUCAACCAAAAUCCCCAUCUUCAAUCUUUUGGUCAACCAAAAGAUUGAAGAUGGGGUUCAGCUUGUCCAAACUCAGAUUCUUCCUGAAAAAUUUGAAGUUGGAAUUGAUUCUGAUUUCAAGGAUGGUAAGAUGGGAAAUGAUGAUUUUACUAUAUGAUAAUAGCAGUAAUUUUCAAAUUUUACGAUUUGACAAUAUUCUAUAUUUUUAUUGUGAGACAUGUUUCAUAUAACUAUGUUUAUAACAAUGGAAAAAUACAAUAGAAAAGAAAAUAGAAAUGAUACUGAAUCGUAUGUUAAGUCUUGAAAGAAUAAUGUUACACAAUAUGAGUGGAAUAAUGACAUGAACUUUUGUAAUAUCUUCUAUCUCACCAAUGGCAUUGAUUUGAGCUGUGGUUCUUUCAUGAACUUUGACUUUUUAAUUUUUCUUCUUUGAGUAAUACAAGUUUCAUCUUGCUUUAAUUUAUGUAAAAUUAUACUCUCAUGCCAUUCAUUUUCUGC